GAGGGUGCGGAGCGGGGGAGGAGUACUGGCGUGUUCCUGGGAGGGUUACGUAACAUGUUAAGGCCGCGCGUGGUUGUGGAGGCGGGCGGGAGUGUUAAGGUAGAUGUCGUUGAUGAGGUUCGGGAAGUGGCGGAUCAGUCUCUUGGCGAGGUCGUUGUGCACGGAGGUGGCGUUGAGGACACAGAGGUGGAGCACGCUCUCGCCCACCGCUCCCACGUGCUGGAGGUCCCAACACACGUAGCGAGUAUAUGGAGACAGGACAAGAGAAUCGUCUAUCAACAAGAAUGAAAGGCCUUGGUAUUUUGUGCGUCAUCUUCUGGCCUGUCCAUCUACCUUCACACGGCAAGAAUCCACGAAACAAAGAAAUAGGCGUAUCUGUGUUGUUAUAGUACAUGUAUGUGAAGAUAAGGCAUUAGCAUUGUAUAUAGAUAAGAAGAAGGACUGGGCUUGUUAAGAUGGCGUAAGCUCCUGCCCUCCUCACCUAAAGUCCAGGUUACAAAAGAACAAGACAAGCGAAGUAAUGGCCUUCUCUAUCUUCUUUUAACAGCAUAUAGAGGUAAGGUAAGAGCAUCAUAUAACAGUAAGAGGAACGGAUGGGUGACUCUUAGGCAACCAGUUAUUUUUCUACCUAGCACACCAUCACGUAAAAAAGGAUGUGGGAAAAUGUGUCGCCCGCCGUUAGUAGUUUAUGAUAUAACGAAACAGGCUAAAAGUAUGUUUAUAUAUAAAGAAAUUAGGGAGUUUGUGCAAUUUUCUGUCCCUAUGUAUAUAAAGGCAAGGCAAAAAUAUGUGAACUGAUUGACGAAUGAAUAAUGUAAAAAGAAAACCUGUCAUAUAAAUAGAAGGUAAAUAGCGGCUUAAAAACACAAAUAAGCAAAUCAAUAAAUAAGAGCAAUAAUAAUAAUAAUAAUAAUAAUAAUAAUAAUAAUAAUAAUAAUAAUAAUAAUAAUAAUAAUAAUAAUAA
Molecule: long non-coding RNA, 964 nt
Organism: Eriocheir sinensis (Chinese mitten crab)
Lineage: Eukaryota; Metazoa; Arthropoda; Malacostraca; Decapoda; Varunidae
Exons: 3
Source: RefSeq, a predicted model, not a curated record